UUCUAAUGCAUGGAUUUAAAAAAUAUCUGCUUUAGAAUCAGAAAGCCAGUUACCUAGCCUCAUAAAUGCAUGUAAAGAUUUUGUUCCAAAUCAUUUGGUCUAGCAGAUUUUUAACUCUGAAAAAAGUGACGGAAUUCGUCAAAACAGGCACGAAAAUGAGUGAUUUUCAGACGUGAAUAUCUUAUUCAAUCUUCGAUGUAAAUUCGUGUUCUUGGUCUCAUUCUAUAGGUAAAACCUUUCUAGUUUUAUGAUAAUUGUGUCAUAAUUUACAAUCUUGGAGAAAGACUUAAUUUCUAGCUCAGAAAUGACACACCACGGUAAACAACAAAAUGGCCGCUCCGUGACAACAAAGGUACAUGUUUGGGCGAUAAUUCUGCAAAAAGUAAACAAGAUACGCAACUGACAAUUUGAUACCACAAAGACAAAUGUCUCCGCUUUACAAUGAGACCAUUUUCGGCUUUCUGCGAUCAGAAUUGACUUCAAAACAUCGAUUUCAAAUUGCCCUGUCGUUCACCAUCUCCGAACUUUUUCUGGAAACCCAAGUCUAAAAUUAGACCGUAUUUUCCGAAAUCUGGGCGGUGACCUGGGUCACGUGGGGUCAAACGUGAGGUCAAACUAGGUUCAGCAAGGAGCGGGAGUAAUGGCUUUGCGCGCGAACGUAUUUCUGUGGAAUAAAAUCAUUUUCUUGUGCUUGCAGAUGGAGGGAGCUGAACAAUCUUUGUGACAAAUUACAUCUCAGAAUGUCUGCCGUCGAAAACUACCAAGGAUGGACUGGGAUGGCAAUAACAGGAGACAAAAUCUGCAUGCAAAGCACUGUGAUGUGAUUUGUACAGGCCAAGAUGUCUCAAGUUUUACAACCAAUCAACCAUAUUGAAGUUUUGUGUGACAGAUUUUCCACAGCAAAAAAAUAAGAGCAUUGUUGUGAAGUGGUGACCUGCCAAAGAUGUUACAGCAGUGGUGUGUGACAAUUUCCUACAGUAGAAUUAUGGAAAGAUAAUCAGGUAUUCAUUUUCAACAAUAUGCACAGCUAGAUUAAAUUUCAAGAAGUACAACACCAUGUUAAUUUAAUGUUAUAGCUUGCAUUUUUUGUGAUAAAUUAUCUAGGACUUGGUACUUUCAAAAUGUAUUUCAGUCUGUUAAAGAUAUUCAUUUCUGUUUCAGGCUGCUCACAGUGUUGUCUACAUUUUUGAUGACAGAACAGUGAUGUGUGCUUUUUAUUUUCGAAGAAGCAAAGAGAUAGACUCUGAUGUAUUUCGUAUUAACGUGUAUUGUUUUCUUCUGUUGAUAUCUGCCCGUACAAGAGGCAAUGCCCGUAAAAGAGGCACUACUAUUGCUUGAGUUUGCUUUUUCAUUUAUCAAUAGUAACAACAGUCACUGUAGAAAAGUACUCCGAGAUGAAGGUUUGGUGUGUUUGUCUGUAUCAUGAGUCUUAUAGCCUCUCCUGUCUGUCCGAAUUUAUACUAUGCCGACUUGUUUGCCGGGUACACUGUCCAUACCCAAUACUAAAAGAUAAGGGUAUUCACCAGUGUGAAUGAACAAGUUCACUCACGCUGGUUGUACCUUUGCUUAUUUAGUGUACUUAUCAGACAAGUUUGGCCUUUAACAUCUCGGAGAAAUAUCAUACAUCAAGUAAGGAUCGUUGGCAAAUACAACGUGACACGUUAGGAAAAAUACAGUCAAACUGAAAAACUUUUCAUAGAAUCUUACUUUUGAGAUAUUAGAUAAGGCGGAUAGUACUUCGAAAUUUCAACACGUUGUAAAAAAAACUGAUUUCUGAAAUACAACAUGACACGUUAGGAAAAAUACAGUCAAAUUGAAAAACUUCUCAUAGAAUAUUACUUGUGAGAUAUUAGAUAAGGCGUAUAGUACUUCGAAAUUUCAACACGUUGUGAAACAAAACUCAUUUCUGACUGAUCAUUUUUGCUUUCCUGAACGUCUCAUUUUUUGUAUUUGCCACGAGCCUUUAUAUCCAGCUACAUGCCAUUGCAUCGAAAUGCAGACAAACCUCUGAUACUCUUUUUACAAUGCAUCGUCUCAAUGCAAAUAAAGCGAUAACUCUUACAUACGUAAGAAUGACAGAGUUACCUCUUUUAGAAAUAAAACCUGCAAAAAGA
Mercenaria mercenaria is the source of this 2114-nucleotide long non-coding RNA. RefSeq lists it as uncharacterized. The transcript is spliced from 3 exons. Lineage: Eukaryota; Metazoa; Mollusca; Bivalvia; Venerida; Veneridae. The record is from RefSeq and is a predicted model, not a curated record.